This 949-nucleotide ribosomal RNA is filed under the name Arthrobacter humicola. RNAcentral's name for it is "bacterial SSU rRNA". It matches the Rfam family "Bacterial small subunit ribosomal RNA", at positions 543 to 1485 of the family's 1533-position model. Lineage: Bacteria; Bacillati; Actinomycetota; Actinomycetes; Micrococcales; Micrococcaceae. The record is from RNAcentral.
AUCCGGAAUUAUUGGGCGUAAAGAGCUCGUAGGCGGUUUGUCGCGUCUGCCGUGAAAGUCCGGGGCUCAACUCCGGAUCUGCGGUGGGUACGGGCAGACUAGAGUGAUGUAGGGGAGACUGGAAUUCCUGGUGUAGCGGUGAAAUGCGCAGAUAUCAGGAGGAACACCGAUGGCGAAGGCAGGUCUCUGGGCAUUAACUGACGCUGAGGAGCGAAAGCAUGGGGAGCGAACAGGAUUAGAUACCCUGGUAGUCCAUGCCGUAAACGUUGGGCACUAGGUGUGGGGGACAUUCCACGUUUUCCGCGCCGUAGCUAACGCAUUAAGUGCCCCGCCUGGGGAGUACGGCCGCAAGGCUAAAACUCAAAGGAAUUGACGGGGGCCCGCACAAGCGGCGGAGCAUGCGGAUUAAUUCGAUGCAACGCGAAGAACCUUACCAAGGCUUGACAUGGGCCGGACCGGGCUGGAAACAGUCCUUCCCCUUUGGGGCCGGUUCACAGGUGGUGCAUGGUUGUCGUCAGCUCGUGUCGUGAGAUGUUGGGUUAAGUCCCGCAACGAGCGCAACCCUCGUUCCAUGUUGCCAGCGCGUAAUGGCGGGGACUCAUGGGAGACUGCCGGGGUCAACUCGGAGGAAGGUGGGGACGACGUCAAAUCAUCAUGCCCCUUAUGUCUUGGGCUUCACGCAUGCUACAAUGGCCGGUACAAAGGGUUGCGAUACUGUGAGGUGGAGCUAAUCCCAAAAAGCCGGUCUCAGUUCGGAUUGGGGUCUGCAACUCGACCCCAUGAAGUCGGAGUCGCUAGUAAUCGCAGAUCAGCAACGCUGCGGUGAAUACGUUCCCGGGCCUUGUACACACCGCCCGUCAAGUCACGAAAGUUGGUAACACCCGAAGCCGGUGGCCUAACCCCUUGUGGGAGGGAGCUGUCGAAGGUGGGACUGGCGAUUGGGACUAAG